UACGAAGGGGGCUAGCGUUGCUCGGAAUCACUGGGCGUAAAGGGUGCGUAGGCGGGUCUUUAAGUCAGGGGUGAAAUCCUGGAGCUCAACUCCAGAACUGCCUUUGAUACUGAGGAUCUUGAGUUCGGGAGAGGUGAGUGGAACUGCGAGUGUAGAGGUGAAAUUCGUAGAUAUUCGCAAGAACACCGGUGGCGAAGGCGGCUUACUGGUCCGGUUCUGACGCUGAGGCGCGAAAGCGUGGGGAGCAAACAGG
Molecule: ribosomal RNA, 253 nt
Filed under: uncultured bacterium
Lineage: Bacteria
Description: partial 16S ribosomal RNA
Rfam family: Bacterial small subunit ribosomal RNA
Source: RNAcentral